This 771-nucleotide ribosomal RNA is filed under the name Triticum aestivum (bread wheat). Its description in RNAcentral is "partial small subunit ribosomal RNA". The record is from RNAcentral. Lineage: Eukaryota; Viridiplantae; Streptophyta; Magnoliopsida; Poales; Poaceae.
AUGGCAACGACUACGGCGUGCCCUCUAUGCGGAGCUCAGGAUACAUGGAAGCACGCGUUACUCGAGUGUCCGAUGUCUUGCUGCACUUGGGCAUUGUCUUCGGAAGUAGUGUUGGAUCAUCUCUGCAUCGUUCAACACGACAGUGCGAAAAGAUGGUUAUUUGCCCUUCAAGAGAGCCUCAAUGCUGAUGAUUUUAUCAGGCUGGUGGUCACUCUUUGGGCAAUCUGGGGAGCUAGAAGAAAAAAAGUCGCAGUGGCCAAUGCAACUACAACAAGGCCACGACGGUGGUUGCCGCCUGUGGAGAACCAUGCCAAGAUAAACACGGAUGCAGCAGUCGGAGGCCGUGGACGUUUUGGUGCAGUUGCAGCAAUCUGCCGAGAUGGAGAGGGAACAUUUGAAGGUGCGUCGGCAGUCGUAUACUGGACAAUUGGAGACCCAGCUACGCUUGAAGCCUUAGCCAUCAGAGAGGCCCUCUCCCUUACUGAUGAUCUAUACCUCCAGAGAAUUCACAUGGCUUCGGAUUGCAGGGAAGCAGUGGAGGAGAUUUUCAGCGAUGGUGCAUCGAUCUAUGGUGCAGUUAUACAAAAGAUUAAGUUGCAUGCAUUGUCUUUUAUUUCUUGUAAGAUACUUCAUGAGUUUAGGAGCUCAAACUUUGAUGCUCACAACCUUGCGAAAUAUGCGUUGGGUCUUGGGUCUCAGGCCUGGCCGCCAUGUUUAGUUAGGCCAGCCCGAGGGUAUUCCCUUCGUCCAUGUAAACAUUGUGACGAAUGA